GGGUCCAGGCCCUACGGGGCGCAGCAGGCGCGAAACCUCCGCAAUGCGGGAAACCGCGACGGGGGGACCCCGAGUGCCGUGGCAACGCCACGGCUUUUCCGGAGUGUAAAAAGCUCCGGGAAUAAGGGCUGGGCAAGGCCGGUGGCAGCCGCCGCGGUAAUACCGGCGGCCCGAGUGGUGGCCGCUAUUAUUGGGCCUAAAGCGUCCGUAGCCGGGCCCGUAAGUCCCUGGCGAAAUCCCACGGCUCAACCGUGGGGCUUGCUGGGGAUACUGCGGGUCUUGGGACCGGGAGAGGCGGGGGGUACCCCUGGGGUAGGGGUGAAAUCCUAUAAUCCCAGGGGGACCGCCAGUGGCGAAGGCGCCCCGCUGGAACGGGUCCGACGGUGAGGGACGAAGGCCAGGGGAGCAAACCGGAUUAGAUACCCGGGUAGUCCUGGCUGUAAAGGAUGCGGGCUAGGUGUCGGGUGAGCCUCGAGCUCGCCCGGUGCCGUANGGAAGCCGUUAAGCCCGCCGCCUGGGGAGUACGGCCGCAAGGCUGANCUUAAAGGAAUU
Molecule: ribosomal RNA, 552 nt
Filed under: uncultured Thermococcus sp.
Lineage: Archaea; Methanobacteriati; Methanobacteriota; Thermococci; Thermococcales; Thermococcaceae
Description: bacterial SSU rRNA
Rfam family: Archaeal small subunit ribosomal RNA
Source: RNAcentral